Long non-coding RNA from Drosophila guanche, 391 nucleotides. RefSeq lists it as uncharacterized. Lineage: Eukaryota; Metazoa; Arthropoda; Insecta; Diptera; Drosophilidae. The record is from RefSeq and is a predicted model, not a curated record. The transcript has 3 exons.
GGGGGGAACUGUGCCUCCCUUUGUGGGCUCUUUCCGGAACAUCAUGUGCCUGGCAAAUACACAUAUUUUUGUCAACAGGCAACUGCCUAAGCAAAUACCGGAUGAAAUAGAGCCCCCCCGGAUCUUGGGGGAUGCAAACAACCGCCAAAGGUGCUAAUAAAGCCCCAUUCCUCCUCCCCACGGAGUAAAACCACAGAUAAAUAAGGAUAUUGACAGUGGCAGAGAGACAUAAAAGAUUCUGGCGGAGGGUAAAUAGAAAAUGUUUUCAAAUUAGGAAAAUCUGCGUGGAGGAAAAAGCAAUUCAAAUAAACAUAUUAGUAGGGCGGGGAGGCGAGGAAAAAACUUGGAUGUGGGCAGCCUUUGAAGUGUCCUCUGUGGCAGUGGCACUGGC